RNAcentral lists this long non-coding RNA (1170 nucleotides) under Gossypium barbadense (sea-island cotton). Its description in RNAcentral is "long non-coding RNA (GBAR_LNC015794)". The record is from RNAcentral. Lineage: Eukaryota; Viridiplantae; Streptophyta; Magnoliopsida; Malvales; Malvaceae.
UAUUUUAAAAUUAAAAAAAUACAUUAAAAAUAUUAAAAAUUUAUAUACAAACUAAAUAAAAUUUAAAAAAUGAACAAAUAUUAAUCAUUUUCAUUUUCUUCUUUUUUGUUUAAAACGGUCUCCGACAUCACCCCGACUAGUACCACCACCAAAAUGAAGCUCUCCUCACCCUCUAUACAUCCAGCGAUUGAGAUUUCUCCUAGGAAAAAUCAAAAUCUUUGAAACCCCAAGCACGAUUUCGACUCCAACAGCCUCAAUCUGUUGCCAUCCGUCGUCAUAUGGACUCGGUUUCGUAUUAUAUGUCUCCUCUUGUCGUCGGCCACCUUCUCAUUGUCUAGAUUUGCAGAAGGAUACCUGGAACUCUGCUUUUCUUGUCAAUUUCCGCUUCUUUGUUCUUCCAUUUUUAUUUUUCGAUUUCUACUUUCUGAUUUCUGUUUGGGUUGUUGCAGAGGCUAUGCUGGGGUGGCUAGCAGUGGCAUUGGCCUCCCUAAAAAUGAAAAUUUUCAAUUCAAUCCCUCUAGAAAUAAUAAAUAUUAUUUACAAAUUAAUUACGGUAAAAUUUCACUUUGAUCUCUCAAAUAUGAAAAAAAAAAUCCAUUCAAUCCCUUCGAAAAUAAUGAAAUUAUAAACUAAUACAUGGUAAAAUUACAUUUUUAUCUUUCAAAAAAAUUGUAAUUUAGUUCCGGCCCCCUAAAAUAAUUCUUGGCUUCGCCCCAGAGUUGUUAGGAUCUUGAUUUAAGGGCUCGGGUAUGGUAAAAUGUUAGAUUAUUUGUAAAGGGCGGUCGUAGAUAGUGAUGAGGGGUGCUAGCCGUCAGACUUGUUCAUGAUAAAUACCCAGAGAGGCAAGAACAAACUCACUUCAAAAAUCAGUUUUUUGAGUGAAACAAAAAAUACCCAGAGAGCCAAAAGAAACAUAUUUCAAUUAUAAUCUAAAAUAAACCCAUUAUUCUUAGGGACCGAAUAAAUCAACCCAGAUCAUGAAAUUUGAAGCUAAAAGAAGAAAAAGUGUUGAGAAAUUUUACUAGCUUGAAGCUUCUUGUGAAGCUUGUUGAUUUCCAGCACCUCUUCUCGUUCUUUGCUUAACUGAUCGAGUUCCCUUGAGCUUUGCAAGUUUGAAGUUCGAAGCUUGGAUUUUCUUUUUUUACUUUAAUGAAUCAAUCCUUGAUUUAU